CCUGGCAGUCAGAGGCGAUGAAGGACGUGCUAAUCUGCGAUAAGCGUCGGUAAGGUGAUAUGAACCGUUAUAACCGGCGAUUUCCGAAUGGGGAAACCCAGUGUGAUUCGUCACACUAUCAUUAACUGAAUCCAUAGGUUAAUGAGGCGAACCGGGGGAACUGAAACAUCUAAGUACCCCGAGGAAAAGAAAUCAACCGAGAUUCCCCCAGUAGCGGCGAGCGAACGGGGAGGAGCCCAGAGCCUGAAUCAGUGUGUGUGUUAGUGGAAGCGUCUGGAAAGGCGCGCGAUACAGGGUGACAGCCCCGUACACAAAAAUGCACAUACUGUGAGCUCGAUGAGUAGGGCGGGACACGUGGUAUCCUGUCUGAAUAUGGGGGGACCAUCCUCCAAGGCUAAAUACUCCUGACUGACCGAUAGUGAACCAGUACCGUGAGGGAAAGGCGAAAAGAACCCCGGCGAGGGGAGUGAAAAAGAACCUGAAACCGUGUACGUACAAGCAGUGGGAGCCUCUUUUAUGGGGUGACUGCGUACCUUUUGUAUAAUGGGUCAGCGACUUAUAUUCUGUAGCAAGGUUAACCGAAUAGGGGAGCCGAAGGGAAACCGAGUCUUAACUGGGCGUUAAGUUGCAGGGUAUAGACCCGAAACCCGGUGAUCUAGCCAUGGGCAGGUUGAAGGUUGGGUAACACUAACUGGAGGACCGAACCGACUAAUGUUGAAAAAUUAGCGGAUGACUUGUGGCUGGGGGUGAAAGGCCAAUCAAACCGGGAGAUAGCUGGUUCUCCCCGAAAGCU
Molecule: ribosomal RNA, 793 nt
Filed under: Escherichia coli
Lineage: Bacteria; Pseudomonadati; Pseudomonadota; Gammaproteobacteria; Enterobacterales; Enterobacteriaceae
Description: partial 23S ribosomal RNA
Rfam family: Bacterial large subunit ribosomal RNA
Source: RNAcentral